AACAAAGUCAAAACCAAGCUAAAAAUUCUCAUUUGGUUCUGUCCAAACCUUGCUCGAGUUACGGCAUCAACUCCUUCGGAAUAUUCACCUCAAACUUUUAGGAAAUUCAAGCAGAAAUCGUUUUUUCGACGCAAAAAAUCUACCAAAAUGUCCCAAGCUCAAUUAUUAUCCGUCCCCCAUCCCCCCGUGGAGGAGGUCAAGACGGCUGCAGGGGGAAAAUCACGAUUUAUUUUUUCAAUCAAAAAUUGUAACAUUUCCAAAACAUGAUUAAAAGUAUUUUCUUCUCCUGUAUUAUGCUGGCGACGUCGUACUACUAUCUUUUUGGCGAACGUCACCCACAUCUCAAUUCGAUCGUUAUUGCGAAGGAGAAAAACACUGGUUGGCAUUUAUUCUCGACCAUCUCAGAGGGUCUCGUCAUCUUUGGAUUUGUCGUCGCUGCGAUCCUGGCCUUAAUCCAUCUCAGGCUUUUGGCUGGAAUACACCAGGUGAAAUUGUAAAUAUUUGAUUUCGUGUCAGAAUGAUAAUUUCUCCAAGUCUCCACUUACAUACUCUAAAGCCAUGCAGGAUUGAACUUUUUGCAGAAACUAAGAAUUCUGAGAAACCACACCACUGCCAAUCUCAAAUUGAGAAUUUACCAUUUUGAGACGAAAUAGGCCAACUUCGAGAUCGUCACAGCCUGUUGGAUAGCUAUGGUAGCCUUCUUCGCUGCCUAUUUUGGAUUCAUGAUUUUCGUACAUAUUAACGAAGGUAAAAAUCUCUGCAUUCCUGAAGAAGAAGUCGUCAUAACUUUGUCCAGUUUCUACGCAAUUUGGCUCGUGGGUUGCUUCCGAGUUGAAAUGAAGGUGAAGAUGGAAGCUAAGAAAUCCAACAAAACUGACAACCUUGAUACAGUUAUGAUAAUUGCAAAUUGAAUUUCCUAUAUUUAUUGAAUUUAAAUAUAUAAAAUCAAAUAAUUUAUGUACACGCUAAAAAUAUAUUAUUAGAAACCAGCGUAUAAGCCCGUUUCCCACCGGGCGACCGGCUUAUUUGAUUUUGAUGAAGGGAAUGUUCAUAAUUCCACCGAUUUUUUUAUUGUGUCCAUAUUAUCAAUUAAAAAAUCUGUUGGCAAGGGAAGUGAAACUCUUUCCACUUCCGCUUCCGUCACGGAAAAUUACUUUCACUUCCGUUACAGACAAAGAUUUCCAGCUUAUAAUAUAGAUACGUAACUUAUAUAAAUUUCAUACAUAAUGAACUUCAAUUCGUGCCCAUUAGCUUGUUUUUAUUCCACUUUUCUUCUUUCUGAGGUCACCCGUCAUGAAAAUUUUAACGUCUGUGUGAAAUACUACAUAGUUGUAAAAAUAUCCUUCCGUCUUUAAGUCAAAGUUGUACACGUUUUUCAAUAAUACUUAAAACUUAACUUUGGCAUAUUUUAUUUUUAAGUUAAUUUAGCUCUAGCGAUUUUUUUGUAUUGCAUUUUUAAUCCACCAUCAUACAAUUGUACGGUUUAUAUAUCCUAAAAUUUAUAAGGUUGUGCUCUCUAACUUCAGAAUUUUUACGAUCAGUAAACAAUUAUUUAAUUAUUCAUUGAGUACGAAAAUCAAUUCUUCCCACAUUUCAAAACAGCCUUGUCCGGUAUCCCUGCAAGUUUAUGUAUUACGUAAUUAUUGCUUGCUAAUUAAGUAUGUACAUGCAUUUACUUACAUACACACGAAUAGAUACAUACAUAAUUUAUUAAUUUAUUUGAUGCAUUUUAUUUUAUAUAUUUCCCAACAAAAUGUAAAUAGGUGUAUAGGUUAAAAAUGUAGCAUCUUACUUACAU
This is a long non-coding RNA of Folsomia candida, 1798 nucleotides long. RefSeq lists it as uncharacterized. Lineage: Eukaryota; Metazoa; Arthropoda; Collembola; Entomobryomorpha; Isotomidae. The transcript is spliced from 4 exons. The record is from RefSeq and is a predicted model, not a curated record.